UACGAACCGUGCGAACGUUGUUCGGAUUCACUGGGCUUAAAGGGCGCGUAGGCGGGUCGCUAAGUCCGGGGUGAAAGCCCCCAGCUUAACUGGGGAAGUGCCUCGGAUACUGGCGGCCUCGAGGGGGAUAGGGGCCCGCGGAACUUCGGGUGGAGCGGUGAAAUGCGUUGAUAUCCGAAGGAACGCCGGUGGCGAAAGCGGCGGGCUGGAUCCCUUCUGACGCUGAGGCGCGAAAGCCAGGGGAGCAAACGGG
Molecule: ribosomal RNA, 253 nt
Filed under: uncultured bacterium
Lineage: Bacteria
Description: partial 16S ribosomal RNA
Rfam family: Bacterial small subunit ribosomal RNA
Source: RNAcentral